This 390-nucleotide long non-coding RNA is filed under the name Gossypium raimondii (Peruvian cotton). RNAcentral's name for it is "long non-coding RNA (GRAI_LNC000584)". Lineage: Eukaryota; Viridiplantae; Streptophyta; Magnoliopsida; Malvales; Malvaceae. The record is from RNAcentral.
UUUCGAAUGAACUCACGCUCUCUUGCCUUUUACCACUCGACCUCGUCUCACAAAUUCGUAAUUCGUCUCGAUAGACUUAAUUUGCUGCUUAAGGGUCAGUUUCAAAAUGGGUUACAAGGGAUAAUGUCGGGUGUAGGGUAGGUUGAACAAAGAAGAAAAUUGGUUUAAAAUGUGGCGUUGGGAUGGGUAAAUAAUGGUAGGAAGGGAAACUUGAUGAUCGGAGUAAUAAGUGAUAAUGAUAAAAACUCGCAAGACUUUUCACUUUUUUUUUCUUUCUUCUUUUUUUUAACUCGAUUUUUUUGUCACUUCUUUUUUUUUCCUUUUUUUCGAUUUUUUUUGAAUUUUUUUUCCGAAUUUCUUCUCUUUUUUUAAUACAAUACAAUAGUAAAC